Molecule: long non-coding RNA, 291 nt
Organism: Leucoraja erinaceus (little skate)
Lineage: Eukaryota; Metazoa; Chordata; Chondrichthyes; Rajiformes; Rajidae
Exons: 2
Source: RefSeq, a predicted model, not a curated record
UGGCGGCGCUGUUAACAGCUGCGGCUCGCCUGCAGUCCGUCUGUCUUUACUUUUUUCUGUUGUUUUUUUUGUCUUGUUUUGGUUAAGUUUUAGUUUGUUGGGUUGUGUUAGAGGGGAUGGAAACUAAGACUUUGCCUCCAUCACAGUGAGGAUGUGCUUGGUGAACUUACUGUGGUGGAUGUUUAAUUGGUGUUUAUUGUAUGUUUUGUUAUUAUUGAUUCUGUGUAUGACUGCAGGCAACAUAGUUUCGUUCAGACCGUAAGGUCUGAAUGACAAUAAAGGAUCUAUCUA